Molecule: ribosomal RNA, 450 nt
Filed under: uncultured bacterium
Lineage: Bacteria
Description: bacterial SSU rRNA
Rfam family: Bacterial small subunit ribosomal RNA
Source: RNAcentral
UAGGGAAUAUUGCGCAAUGGGGGAAACCCUGACGCAGCCACGCCGCGUGAGUGAGGAAGGCCUUCGGGUUGUAAAGCUCUGUCGCCUGGGAAAAACGGCUAUCUGGGGAAAGUUCAGGUAGCGUGAUGGUACCAGGAGAGGAAGCACCGGCAAACUCUGUGCCAGCAGCCGCGGUAAUACAGAGGGUGCAAGCGUUGUUCGGAUUUACUGGGCGUAAAGCGUGCGUAGGCGGUAUUGAGAGUCGCGGGUGAAAUCCCAGGGCUUAACCCUGGAACUGCCUGCGAGACCUCAGUACUAGAGUGUGAGAGGGGAUGGUGGAAUGCCAAGUGUAGCGGUGAAAUGCGUAGAGAUUUGGCGGAACACCGGUGGCGAAGGCGACCAUCUGGCUCACAACUGACGCUCAGGCACGAAAGCGUGGGGAGCAAACAGGAUUAGAUACCCCCGUAGUCC